Molecule: non-coding RNA, 54 nt
Organism: Salmo salar (Atlantic salmon)
Lineage: Eukaryota; Metazoa; Chordata; Actinopteri; Salmoniformes; Salmonidae
Source: Rfam
ACAGACUAGACUUGUAAAUCGCUCUGGAUAAGAGCGUCUGCUAAAUGACGUAAA